CCCUGAUGUCCUGAAAACAUAUUUACAUGUUGGAGACAGCUGGGCCAAUUGGACAGUUCUCUACCGGGCCCCGGAGUGAACAUACUUGUACACCUGCAAAGCCGACUAAAACGAGGGCUGAGGGGCUUACGUUGCAAACUGCCCUUGCUUGGCUAAUCAUUUGGACCGCCCGCCAAGAUGGCGACAGGGAUUUCCCCAAGGGCAUAAGGCAAGGCCUGAGGACUUCCCUGAGAUGGAGAUCUUGUGGCAGCUGACCUGCGCCUGGAACACAGGCAUCCUGCUUUACAGCCUGGCCGAGUACCCUGAGGGGUGGUGUGGCCUGGGCAUGAGCUUCCUCCGCUGCCUGGGCUCCCUGCAGGAGAGCUACCAGACACAGAUGUCAGAUCUGUACACAGGUCCUGGAUAGUCUGGACAAAGCCAAGAAGAACCUCCUCUUGGAGUCGUGAUUUGAGCUGGUAGAGCUUUGCAGAGCUCUUUUACUGUCUGGCACCUGAUGUUAUUCAUGUGGUAGCUGGGAUGGUAGUUUACUAUAUGAUGUAUGACUGGUCUCCAGUUUAGUCAGCUCCUCCAGGAUGUCAGUUGCAUCCUGUCCUCACCCAAUAUUUCCCUCACUUUCCCUAUGGAGAGUUCAGAUAACCAUUUCUGCUGGGGCGACAGGGUAGCCUAGUGGUUAGAGCGUUGGACUAGUAACCGAAAGGUUGCAAGUUCAAAUCCCCGAGCUGACAAGGUACAAAUCUGUCGUUCUGCCCCUGAACAGGCAGUUAACCCACUGUUCCUAGGCCGUCAUUGAAAAUAAGAAUUUGUUCUUAACUGACUUGCCUAGUAAAAUAAAGGUUAAAAAA
Long non-coding RNA from Oncorhynchus tshawytscha (Chinook salmon), 842 nucleotides. The record is from Ensembl. Lineage: Eukaryota; Metazoa; Chordata; Actinopteri; Salmoniformes; Salmonidae.